AAUCCGGGAGUAGGAGACACAGAAUCGAAUCUCUUCUCCCUCCCCCCUCCUGGUUACAAAACACUGAAAUAUAUAAUUUAGUGGAACUUUCCUUGAGUGAGAUUUUUUUGAUCUUCAGCUACAUUAUUUCGCUUUGUGAAGAACCUUAUCAUCAAAUGCAAUGGCUAGCAAUGUUACCAACAAGACAGACCCUCACUCCAUGAACUCCCUUGUAUUCUUGGGAAUCUCAACACUCUUGUGGUGAAGAAGUCUGAUGUGGAAGCAAUUCUCUCCAAGUAUGGCAAAACUGUGGGCUGCUCUGUUCACAAGGGCUUUGCCUUUGUUCAUUAUGUUAAUGAGAGAAAUGCCCGGGCUGCUGCAGCAGGAGAGGACGGCAGAAUGAUUGCUGGCCAAGUUUUAGAUAUUAAUCUGGCUGCAGAGCCAAAAGUGAAUCGAGGAAAAGCAGGUGUGAAACGAUCUGCAGCGGAGAUGUACGGCUCCUCUUUUGACUUGGACUAUGACUUUCAACGGGAUUAUUAUGACAGGAUGUACAUUUAUCCAGCCCGUGUUCCUCCUCCUCCUCCUAUUGCUUGGGCUGUGGUGCCCUCAAAACGCCAGCGUGUAUCAGGAAACACCUCACGAAGGGGGAAAAGUGGCUUCAAUUCUAAGAGUGGACAGUGAGGUUCUUCUUCCAAGUCUGGAAAGUUGAAAGGAGAUGACCUUCAGGCCAUUAAGAAGGAGUUGACCCAGCUAAAACAAAAAGUGGAUUCUUUACUGGAAAACCUGGAAAAAAUUGAAAAGGAGCAGAGCAAACAAGCAGCAGUAGAGCUGAAGAAUGAUAAAUCAGAAGAGGAGCAGAGCAGCAGCUCCCUGAAGAAAGAUGAGACUAAUGUGAAGAUGGAGUCUGAGGGGGGUGCUGAUGACUCUGCUGAGGAGGGGACCUCCUGGAUGAUGAUGAUAAUGAAGAUCGGGGAGAAGACCAGCUGGAGCUGAUCAAGGAUGAUGAAAAAGAGCCUGAGGAAGGAGAGGAUGACAGAGACAGCGCCAAUGGCGAGGAUGACUCUUAAGCACAUAGUGGGGUUUAGAAAUCUUAUCCCAUUAUUUCUUUACCUAGGCGCUUGUGUAGAUCAAAAUUCUCACCAGAUCCUCUCCCCCUAGUAUCUUCACCACAUGCUCACUGUUGUCCCCAGCCUUGUCCUUCCCAUGUUCAUUAAUUCAUAUUGCCCUGCGCCUAGUCCCAUUUUCACUUCCUUUGAUGCUCCUAAUAGUUCUGUUAAGUCUUACCCUGUAAUGUUUUGCUUUUAAUUUUGAUACCUCUCUAUGACUUAACAAUAAAAAGGAUGUAUGGUUUUUAUCAGCUGUCUCCAAAAUAAUCUCUAGUCUUGCAGGGAGUACAGUUCUUUCCAUUCAUACAUGAGUUCAGUAGUUGCUUCCCUAACUGCAAAGGCAAUCUCAUUUAGUUCAAGUAGCACCUAAGAGCAGCUUUGAGUUAGAAGUAUGUGUUAUACCCCAUGUAAGAGUGCUAAUGUGGGGCAAUUCAACACAAAUGUAACAAUGUAUUUUUGUGAAUGAGAGUUGGCAUGUCAAAUGCAUCCUCUAGAAAAAUAAUUAGUGUAAUAGUCUUAAGAUUUGUUUUCUAAAGUUGAUACUGUGGGUUAUUUUUGUGAACAGCCUGAUGUUUGGGACCUUUUUUCCUCAAAAUAAGUCCUUAUUAAACCAGGAAUUUGGAGAAAAAAA
Nycticebus coucang (slow loris) is the source of this 1716-nucleotide RNA transcript. It is a transcript of the gene named heterogeneous nuclear ribonucleoproteins C1/C2-like, with no coding region annotated. Lineage: Eukaryota; Metazoa; Chordata; Mammalia; Primates; Lorisidae. The transcript is spliced from 2 exons. The record is from RefSeq and is a predicted model, not a curated record.